CCUUCCGUGGGUGAGCUAUUUGAGCCAACAUCUAUUGUUGCGUCGGCCUUCUGCCGUUUGUUAAUUUUGGCCUGAGGGCUUUAACUUUUAAGAUUUUGGUAUGUACCAAAUUAGGGUAGAGCGCUUAUUUUUCUCGUUUUAAGAUCUUUUGUGAGUCUCUGUUUCCUAACUCCUUUCCCGCCUCUUUCAAAUUUGCUCUAGUGAUCAACGCCACCUAUGAUCCGGAGUUGGUAUUAAUUUCACGUGGUGACCUUUGUGUUGUCCUGUUUUCCCCCAGAGACGGUGGCGCCUUGUACUUCAUCGAUCGUUCUCGCCGAAUAUCGAUCACAAAAAUGGUCGUAGCGUUUUGGCGUCGUUGUUAAGGUUUCUUGUGUUCUUCGUCGUCGCUUUUGAGUAACAACUGCCGUUUGGUAGAUAAGUUAUGUUUUUAUAUGGGGUUUCAUUAACAUCAACGUUCUUUAGACGUUCUUAGCCUCUCAAUGUAAGUAGCGAUUGCUCGUGUGAGCCUUUCGUCCCCUUUUGGUUUAUUUUUGACCGUUUUGUUCCGUUUAUUGUUUGUAGUACUCCCUGAUGAUGAUUGAAAUUACAAUCGAAAGCUUGGAUUGAUUAAAGGAGGUUUUUUAAUUUCCCCCAAAAUUGGUUGCAGUCCCAAUAUCUUCACUUGAUUACAGGCAAUAACACAAAUUUUAGUACGGAGCCAAAUACUGGGAUCAUCAACCGUGGGAUAGAGGUUAUAAGUCGCAAAAAUACAAAAACCAAUAAGUCAAACAGGUGGCCAGACAGUAAACGGCCCAAAAAACCGCCGCAAAACCAAAAAUCCAGCACGAUGGCAUAGGAACAAUCAAAUUCGAGAACAAAACCACAACACCAAGAACAACAGGUGACAUUCAUGACAAUUAACAGCCGAGAGCCAUACUAACCCAACAGAAGCGGAAAAAAGGCAAUUCCCCAACCACAAGGCGGGAAACUUGAAUACCAACCAAGGUCAAAACCAAACCUCCCCGAAAGACGAAUCGUCGAGAGGUGGGGGACGAGCAACAUGUAACUUAACCAAAUUGCAAUAAAUGUCGCUAACAUUUUGCACAUCAGUGCGAAAAUUUACAGAAUUAGGCUCACUCAGGAUGUGGAACAUCUUAAGAAAACGCCGUUUAUAGUAUGAGGGUUUAAAACAUACUAUGGAGGAGUUGUCGAAAUCGAAGGUAUGUCCCGUGGUAAGAUGGUGUUCCACAAGGGCCGUGGCAUUCAACUUUUUUAAUCUGCAGUCUCUACGGUGUUGGUCGAGUCUCCUCUUAAGAUAUUGGCUGGUCAUACCCACGUAGGAGCCGGAACAACCCUGACAGUUGAUCUUACACAUCAAGUUGGUUUUCAGACCAUCGGGUCGAUCUUUCAAGCUGGUAAAAAUGCCACGUAGAGGUUUGGUGGUAUAUUUAGCGAACUGUAAAGUUCCGUCAUUGAAAACCUUCACCAGAUUAUCGAACAAAUUUUAGUGUUAUUUAACCCUUUCGCGACUUUUAACUUAGUGGUGCAUAUGUGUACCAGGAGUCGCGAAAGGGUUAAGACAGAAAAAGACAUAAAUAAAAAUUGAAACUAAUUGAACAUAGUCACACACGUUCAUAUAAACCCAUUCAUAGUUAACUUAUUGCGGCUGAACCAAUUUUCCACAAUUCACACAUUAGUACACGUUUUAUGGAUCAUUUCAUUAAGUGUUGAACUAGUAAUUACAAGGCUGGUGUCAUCAGCAUAAUUCGUUUUGUGACAAUUCAGGCCGAAGAGUAGAAGGUCAUUUAUAAAGAUAACGAACAAAAGCGGUCCCAGUAUACUACCCUGUGAGAUACCGUAGAGUGUAGUUUUAUUAGUAGAAAUUACAGUCUUACUUUUUAAGCUUAUGACUUUAGUAGAGUGUGACCUAGUAUUUAAAUAAAAUGUUAUAAUAUCGUU
This is a non-coding RNA of Onthophagus taurus, 1938 nucleotides long. The record is from RefSeq and is a predicted model, not a curated record. NCBI's taxonomy places the organism in Eukaryota, Metazoa, Arthropoda, Insecta, Coleoptera, Scarabaeidae.